Molecule: long non-coding RNA, 2285 nt
Organism: Drosophila obscura
Lineage: Eukaryota; Metazoa; Arthropoda; Insecta; Diptera; Drosophilidae
Exons: 3
Source: RefSeq, a predicted model, not a curated record
UUGCGUCCAGUCCGAUAUUGAUAGGUAACGCGCCCAGUGUGAAAAGGCUAUUACUCUACUGCUGCACCACUGGCUAUCUUCUAUAGAUUAAUGGCUAAUAUCGUCUGCGUAACCCAACAACUAAAAUUGAGUUAUUCUGGUAUAAACUUUGCGGCGUCCAUCAGAUACAAUCAAAGGAUUUGCCUAUCAUUGUUUUUUUUGCAAACUGUUUUUGAUUGUUAACUAAUUAAAUUUUAAUUAUCGCUCGUUAAAUUGCUAGCCACUUCCUGUAAAUCCUACCUUUGUUUCUGGCUUUGCGAUGAUUUUACGUAUAUAAAAUUUGCUGGAGGUGGUGCAAUAGGGGGAAUUUUUAUGAAGAAAAAAACUAAGAACUGAAAAUUGAAAAAUUAUACACAACGAUUCCACUCCGACUGGGAUAUCUGCCCAAACGUCAUUAUAAAGCUUGACAAGUCCACGCGACUCUCUUGAAAUCCUUUAAUGUGGCUGGCUGUACAGUGUUGAAAUCCUCAAGUGUAAAGACGAUCUGAUCCUGAUAAAAAGGGGCCCCAAUAUUGAUUUGCCCCAAAGCUUUUCCUUGGAAAGGGCAAGAUUGAAUAUCUCUGCGGCCCCUAUGCCAUCGCACCGCUCGGUGGCGCACUUUUGACCACAAUGAAAUCAUACAUUAAUAGAUGAUAAAAAGAUUGGGAAGACCGAAAGCCUAGUAGGUGUAUUCCAUGUAUUAACAGUAUGAUUGAUGAUUUAAGUGAUACUUUUCAUAAAUCUUCAAAAGUAUUUAAAUUCGAAUCGAAUUAAAUGGGGUUGCAGGAUAUCUAUAUACUUACAUUCAUUACAGUUCCAGAGUCAAAAACUGCAUCACUUAUAUCAUUUGUAUCAAUUUGUAUAUCACUUUCCCCCGCAAAUGUUUCAAUACAGUCAUAUUCAGCAUGAUUAUGUUUGUCUAUAAUCAAUUCGCUUUCUUCUGUUUGAAUAUCCUUAUUUGACAAUGGUGUUUUUAAAAUGUUUUCAUUUAAUUGAGAUUUCUGUCGUAAAAGCGAACCGAACUUUUCGAAAAACCCAUCGUCUCCAUCCUGUAACCUGUGAAAUAUAAAUUUUAAUUUUUUUAUGACACACCAAAGACGUUUAUUCUCUAUGAUUCUUAAGUUUUGUUAUUUUGAGAUAUAUGAAUAUAACGAAGAGGUGGGCACGCCGUCGCUCUUUCCGUUGUUUUUUGGGAGGCGCUAGCAAGUUGUCCCAGACGGUCGUCGCUCGCGUUCAGCGAUCUUUGAAACUUUACAAAAACAAUGCCACUGAAAUUUGGCUUCAAACAGGCGGCCAAAAUGAUUCGACGCCGCGAUCUCGAGAUUGCAAGAACACAUAAUGUGUCUUGGCUCAUGACUGCGACGCGUCGCAACGGUGGUGGUUUUUGUUGUAAAUCUGCAUAGACCGCCCAUGCUAGUGCCUUGCUUGCGUAAGGUACAAACAUACUACCAAUCUUCGAAUACAUACAUACAUAUGUGUGAAUCACAUUGUCUUAAUUUCUGUUUAUUUUUUAAGUUCACUUUUAUGAUAUAUGUAUAUAUAUGUACAUAUGUAUGUGAGAUUGACAGAACGGACCCAAAAACUUUCAUUAAUACAUAUGUAUGUGUAUACAUAUUUUCGACAUAUCUUCAUAUUGGCCACUAGUAAAUUUACAUAAAAAACAAAUCUAUACAUAUAUUACAUUUGUAUAUUAAACUUACUGAUGUUCGUGCUCUGUGGGUGGAUUCAUUUUGAGCUCGUGCAAUUUGACGAAAAAACCUUUCCACAUUUGUUCCUCAUCCAUUGCAAUGUUUUUAAGUCACACAGGAAACAACAGCUAAAAUAAAAGACGAGUAUGCAUGAACAAGCACUGGGAAGAAACUGUGAUGAUUCAAAGCUGAGCUGCUCUGAAAUAUAUCAUUUGAUAAGAUCUUGGCCCGAGUCUUUUAGGUUCUUUAUCUUCUACGUACAUAUAUGUACAUAUAUAAAUCCUGGCGCCGAAACAUUUUUCAGGAAGGGUUUCCGGCCCGUAAACAGAAUCGCACAUCUUUGGCUUCGAAGACUAUAGAAAAUUCGACCCAGGCCUCAAUGACGAUUACGUUGGAGUAUCUGAUAGAUGCUUGAGCUUUAUCUGGAGAGGUCUGAGGUCUGCCUCUAUUUGGUCUGGUUGGAUCCUCGAGUCGGAUUUGUAGACUUAAAAUUCUGAUUUAUUUUAGCCUAGUCGGACAUGCACACUCCCAACGUGAAUAUUUCACAAUCCAGAAACAACUUGAAGAUUAAAAUGGAUA